UCAUUUCUGUCCAUAUAAUGGUUUCUGUUUGCUUGGUGACAUACUUGUGCUACGUGAUCUUUUUCGUAAAUGUUGGUAUUGGUCAGCUCACGCAACCUAGGGGAGAGAGGGAAGAAUUUGAUGAAGGAAACAAUUACAUCAUCUACAUCCACAUCAGAAAAAACACAACAAAAAGUUUAUUUUAGUUUCAUCAGCCGGAUUGGCGCGUCGGCCCCCUCCCCCUACAAACCUACUGAAAGUGGAUUGCACUUGGCGCGGUAGCUCACAACUGUCGCACCAGCCGGCGUGGCGCGGUAGCCCCCCACCCGCCAAAAACUUAUUGAAAGUUGUAUGCAGUUGCUGCCGCGCUAGCCUGGCUAGCGCGCCACAGGCUGCUGCGCCAGCUGGCCUGGCGCGGCAGCCCUGCUCCACCUGCUGAAAACCUACUAAAAGUUAUAUGCAGUUGGCGCGGUAGCAUAAUACUACCGCGCCAGUCUGGAUGGCGUGCCAAAGGCUGCCGCGCCAUAGUCCUGCCGUGCCACCUGGCCUGGUGCUGCAGCCCCCCCACCCGCCGAAAACCUACUGAAAGUUCUAUGCAAUUAGCAUGGCAGCAUAGUCCUGCCACGCCAACCGGCUGGUGCGGCAGCCCUCCUCCACCCGCAGAAACCUACUAAAAGUUCUAUGCAAUUGGCAUGGCAGCAUAGCCCUACCGCGCCACCUGGCCUGGCGCGGCAGCUGUGCACUCAAGAUGUUAGGCAAAGGAUUUAUAGGAGAGUUUAUAGGAGACUAACUUAAGAGUAAAUACCUCCUCACAAGCUGUUAGGCAAAGGGUUUAUAGGAGAUGUUAGUGAACAAAGAAAUACCUCACUUCAAUUUACAAAAAUCAGUUGCUUAUGUAUAAAUUAUAAACUUUCAAAGUUAGUCGUUGAUUAAGGAAGAAAAUAAGGACUGCCUUGUGGUAUGGAACGAAAUAGCCCUUGUAAUAGUAUAUGCAAGGAACAUACUAUCAAAAUGCAAACAUUGACUGCGACCACGCACGCACACUCAAUGCAAAUAACAUAUUACAUGUUUUUUCAACAAAUAAUCAUAAUUCUCACAACAAACGUAGUUCUCUCACAAAUGAACAUAGUUUUUCACUGAUAAUUGUAGUUGUCACAAUAAACAUAAUUGUCUCACAAUAAACAUAGUUGUGUCAUAAAUGAACAUAGUUUUGAUAACUAAACAGAAACAUGAUCCAACUCAUUCAACACGUUCAUCUAGUCGGAGUCACCUUUACAUAGUAACUCAUCAUCAUCAUCAUCCCCGCAAUAACAACUCUCUUCCCUUUCUUAUGCACAUUAACCUUACCAACAGGUAAAUCGGCAACAAGUGCCUUCAUCGCCUCCAUUUGUGCCUCUUCUACUUUUUCUUGUAACUCUUCCAUUUCAAUCCUUCUCUUCCUUUCCCUAACCUGCUACAAAUAUUCUUCCUAUGAACCCUUAGGGUAUUUCGCAUUCGGAUCAACCACAAAACCUAAGCGAUUUCUCUCCUCCCUCAACCUUUGUUUCUCCAACUCCCUCUCCUCCUGCAACUUCCUCCUAUUUUCUCUCUUCUCAUUUUUAGUUAGAGGUCGUGGAUACUUGGUUCUAUUCUACCUCCAAUACUUAAUAAUAGUUUUCUUCGCAUAAAGUCCUUCAGGCUCCACUUCAGUCUCCUUAACCAUAUCUUGGUAUAUUUUCCCCCAAAGCAAGUUACUGUCAGGUAUAGGCACAUCAUACUCCUUCCUAAUCUUUUCUAUUAGUUCUUAUUCUUUUCUUGAAUUCCAUGGUUCUGAUGUACUACCCAACUUUAACAAUAAAUCGCAAGGACUAGAAAAAUCUUCCUAAUCACAUGUCCUUCCCUCCUGCAACAAGAUUUUCAUAUUCGUACAAAUUUGAAACAAGAUCCAAC
Molecule: long non-coding RNA, 1908 nt
Filed under: Setaria viridis
Lineage: Eukaryota; Viridiplantae; Streptophyta; Magnoliopsida; Poales; Poaceae
Description: long non-coding RNA (SVIR_LNC006694)
Source: RNAcentral